This 220-nucleotide ribosomal RNA is filed under the name uncultured Glomus. RNAcentral's name for it is "partial small subunit ribosomal RNA". It matches the Rfam family "Eukaryotic small subunit ribosomal RNA", at positions 591 to 816 of the family's 1831-position model. The record is from RNAcentral. Lineage: Eukaryota; Fungi; Glomeromycota; Glomeromycetes; Glomerales; Glomeraceae.
CCAAUAGCGUAUAUUAAAGUUGUUGCAGUUAAAAAGCUCGUAGUUGAAUUUCGGGAUCAAUAUAUCGGUCGUGCCAUCGGUACGUACUGGUAUCAUUGGUUUCUCCUUUCUGACGAACCAUGAUGUCAUUAAUUUGGUGUCAUGGGAAGUUAGGACUGUUACUUUGAAAAAAUUAGAGUGUUUAAAGCAGGCUUUAGCUUGAAUACAUUAGCAUGGAAUA